UACGAAGGGGCUAGCGUUGCUCGGAAUGACUGGCGUAAAGGCGCGUAGGCGGACAUCUUUGUCGGCGUGAAAUUCCAGGCUUACCUUGGGCUGCGUUCGAGACGGGUGUCUUGAGUGGGAAGAGGUCGUGGAAUUCCAGUGUAGAGGUGAAUUCGUAGAUAUUGGAAGACACCGGUGCGAGCGCGACUGUCUUACUGACGCUGAGCGCGAAGCG
Molecule: ribosomal RNA, 214 nt
Filed under: uncultured bacterium
Lineage: Bacteria
Description: partial 16S ribosomal RNA
Rfam family: Bacterial small subunit ribosomal RNA
Source: RNAcentral